UGAACUGAAAAAGAGAGGGGUCCGCGCGUACGCAGUCCCUCGCUACCACAAAUUACGACGUAGGUGCCACCAACAAAGGGCAGACCUUAGACCAAUUCCCUUCCUUGUGUGCAAUGGAAGUCAUCAGUCUAAGCCAUGGGCCUACUUGAUCACCCAUUGACUCCGUCCAGGGAAUUGCAGCAAUGACAAUAAUAUUCAAGUGCCAACUCUACCUACUCAUAGCAUAGUAGCAGAAAGGAAACCAUAUUCGACAUAGGCAUGCAUUUAUUCCCCAAAGUUCAAAUCAGACUGUGCUUCUCACAAUUUAGUUAACAAGCAAGAAUGACUGACAUGGAAAACUGCAAGAAGUAGGACUGGUCUCACAUGGCCUUGUCUGGCUUAAUUUGGUCAUUCUAUAGUAUAUUUUGAUCUCACAAUUAACUAAGUAUCACUGUAAUUCUAAACAAAAUCCAUUUGUUUGAAACAAUAUUCUUUAAAAGAUUGAAAAGGUUUAUUUAAUAAAAA
This is a non-coding RNA of Cicer arietinum (chickpea), 504 nucleotides long. Lineage: Eukaryota; Viridiplantae; Streptophyta; Magnoliopsida; Fabales; Fabaceae. The record is from RefSeq and is a predicted model, not a curated record.